AGCUCCAAUAGCGUAUAUUAAAGUUGUUGCGGUUAAAAAGCUCGUAGUUGGAUUUCUGUUGAGGUCGACCGGUGUGCACUUCGUGCAUUAUUUGGUUCGGUCUUGACAUCCUCUCGGGGAACGUGGACUUCAUUGCUCACGGGAUUCGAGACUUUUACUUUGAGGAAAUUAGAGUGUUCACGGCAGGCAAGUGCUUUGAAUACAUUAGCAUGGAAUAAUAAUAUAGGACCUUUGGUUCUAUUUUGUUGGUUUCUAGAACCUAGGUAAUGAUUAAUAGGGACAAUUGGGGGCAUUCGUAUUAACGCGUCAGAGGUGGAAUUCUUGGAUUGCGUUACGACGAACUACUGCGAAAGC
RNAcentral lists this ribosomal RNA (354 nucleotides) under uncultured eukaryote. RNAcentral's name for it is "SSU rRNA". It matches the Rfam family "Eukaryotic small subunit ribosomal RNA", at positions 587 to 952 of the family's 1831-position model. The record is from RNAcentral.